RNAcentral lists this unclassified non-coding RNA (346 nucleotides) under soil metagenome. RNAcentral describes it as "partial contains 5.8S ribosomal RNA, internal transcribed spacer 2, and large subunit ribosomal RNA". The stretch from base 1 to 119 matches the Rfam family "5.8S ribosomal RNA", at positions 35 to 154 of the family's 154-position model. The record is from RNAcentral.
GAUGAAGAACGCAGCGAAAUGCGAUACGUAAUGUGAAUUGCAAAUUCAGUGAAUCAUCGAGUCUUUGAACGCACAUUGCGCCCCCUGGUAUUCCGGGGGGCAUGCCUGUCCGAGCGUCAUUGCUGCCCUCACGCACGGCUUGUGUGUUGGGCCCCGUCCUCCGAUCCCGGGGGACGGGCCCGAAAGGCAGCGGCGGCACCGCGUCCGGUCCUCGAGCGUAUGGGGCUUUGUCACCCGCUCUGUAGGCCCGGCCGGCGCUUGCCGAUCAACCCAAAUUUUUUAUCCAGGUUGACCUCGGAUCAGGUAGGGAUACCCGCUGAACUUAAGCAUAUCAAUAAGCGGAGGA